RNAcentral lists this ribosomal RNA (1404 nucleotides) under uncultured bacterium. RNAcentral's name for it is "16S ribosomal RNA". It matches the Rfam family "Bacterial small subunit ribosomal RNA". The record is from RNAcentral.
AGAGUUUGAUCCUGGCUCAGGAUGACCUCUAGCGACAGGCUUAACACAUGCAAGUCGAGGGGCAGCGGGGGUGAUGGCUUGCCAUCACCUGCCGGCGACCGGCGCACGGGUGAGUAACACGUAUGCAACCUGCCCGCCACAGGGGGGAUAAGCGGAAGAAAUUCCGUCUAAUACCGCGUGACGCGGCGUCGGGGCAUCCCGGUGCCGCCAAAGGGAUUACCGGUGGCGGAUGGGCAUGCGGCGCAUUAGCUAGUCGGCGGGGUAACGGCCCACCGAGGCGACGAUGCGUAGGGGUUCUGAGAGGAAGGUCCCCCACACUGGUACUGAGACACGGACCAGACUCCUACGGGAGGCAGCAGUGAGGAAUAUUGGUCAAUGGGCGGGAGCCUGAACCAGCCAAGUCGCGUGAGGGAUGACGGUCCUACGGAUUGUAAACCUCUUUUGCCGGGGAGCAAGCGUGCGUUCGUGAACGCGCGUCGAGAGUACCCGGAGAAAAAGCAUCGGCUAACUCCGUGCCAGCAGCCGCGGUAAUACGGAGGAUGCGAGCGUUAUCCGGAUUUAUUGGGUUUAAAGGGUGCGUAGGCGGGAUGCCAAGUCAGCGGUAAAAAUGCGGUGCUCAACGCCGUCGAGCCGUUGAAACUGGCGUUCUUGAGUGGGCGAGAGGUAUGCGGAAUGCGUGGUGUAGCGGUGAAAUGCAUAGAUAUCACGCAGAACUCCGAUUGCGAAGGCAGCAUACCGGCGCCCUACUGACGCUGAGGCACGAAAGCGUGGGUAUCGAACAGGAUUAGAUACCCUGGUAGUCCACGCAGUAAACGAUGAAUGCUAACUGUCCGGUGCGAGUGAGCGCUGGGCGGUACAGCGAAAGCGUUAAGCAUUCCACCUGGGGAGUACGCCGGCAACGGUGAAACUCAAAGGAAUUGACGGGGGCCCGCACAAGCGGAGGAACAUGUGGUUUAAUUCGAUGAUACGCGAGGAACCUUACCCGGGCUCAAACGCAGGAUGACGGGUCCCGAAAGGGGCCUUUCUUCGGACAUUCUGCGAGGUGCUGCAUGGUUGUCGUCAGCUCGUGCCGUGAGGUGUCGGCUUAAGUGCCAUAACGAGCGCAACCCCUGUCCACAGUUGCCAGCAGGUAAAGCUGGGGACUCUGUGGAGACUGCCGGCGCAAGCUGCGAGGAAGGCGGGGAUGACGUCAAAUCAGCACGGCCCUUACGUCCGGGGCGACACACGUGUUACAAUGGCAGGUACAGCGGGAUGCCACGGGGCGACCCGGCGCUGAACCCGAAAACCUGUCUCAGUUCGGAUUGGAGUCUGCAACCCGACUCCAUGAAGCUGGAUUCGCUAGUAAUCGCGCAUCAGCCACGGCGCGGUGAAUACGUUCCCGGGCCUUGUACACAACGCCCGUCA